AACGAACGCUGGCGGCAGGCCUAACACAUGUAAGUCGAACGGACGUAGCAAUACGUUAGUGGCUCACGGGAGAGUAACGCGUGGGAACCUACCUUUUGGUUCGGGAUAACAUCGGGAAACUGGUGCUAAUACCGGAUAAGCCCUUCGGGGGAAAGAUUUAUUGCCGAAAGAUGGGCCCGCGUUGGAUUAGCUAGUUGGUGAGGUAAUGGCUCACCAAGGCAACGAUCCAUAGCUGGUCUGUGAGGAUGAUCAGCCUCACUGGGACUGAGACACGGCCCAGACUCCUACGGGAGGCAGCAGUGGGGAAUAUUGGACAAUGGGGGAAACCCUGAUCCAGCCAUGCCGCGUGAAUGAUGAAGGCCUUCGGGUUGUAAAGUUCUUUUGGUGGGGACGAUGAUGACGGUACCCACAGAAUAAGCUCCGGCUAACUUCGUGCCAGCCGCCGCGGUAA
Molecule: ribosomal RNA, 451 nt
Filed under: uncultured bacterium
Lineage: Bacteria
Description: partial 16S ribosomal RNA
Rfam family: Bacterial small subunit ribosomal RNA
Source: RNAcentral